CGACUAAGCGUACACGGUGGAUGCCCUGGCAGUCAGAGGCGAUGAAGGACGUGCUAAUCUGCGAAAAGCGUCGGUAAGGUGAUAUGAACCGUUAUAACCGGCGAUGUCCGAAUGGGGAAACCCAGUGCAAUUCGUUGCACUAUCGUUAACUGAAUACAUAGGUUAACGAGGCGAACCGGGGGAACUGAAACAUCUAAGUACCCCGAGGAAAAGAAAUCAACCGAGAUUCCCCCAGUAGCGGCGAGCGAACGGGGAG
This 256-nucleotide ribosomal RNA is filed under the name Klebsiella pneumoniae. Its description in RNAcentral is "partial 23S ribosomal RNA". It matches the Rfam family "Bacterial large subunit ribosomal RNA", at positions 1 to 264 of the family's 2925-position model. Lineage: Bacteria; Pseudomonadati; Pseudomonadota; Gammaproteobacteria; Enterobacterales; Enterobacteriaceae. The record is from RNAcentral.